AACCUGGUUGAUCCUGCCAGUAGUCAUAUGCUUGUCUCAAAGACUAAGCCAUGCAUGUCUAAGUAUAAAUGUUAUACAGUGAAACUGCGAAUGGCUCAUUAAAACAGUUAUAGUUUAUUUGAUAAUCGAACUUACAUGGAUAACCGUGGUAAUUCUAGAGCUAAUACAUGCUGGUUAGCCUGACUUCUAGGAAGGGCUGUAUUUAUUAGAUAACAAACCAAUAUUCCUCGUGUCUAUUGUGAUGACUCAUAAUAACUGAUCGAAUCGCAUGGGCCUUGCCCGCGAUGCAUCAUUCAAGUUUCUGCCCCAUCAGCUUUCGAUGGUAGUGUAUUGGACUACCAUGGCUUUAACGGGUAACGGAGGAUUAGGGUUCGAUUCCGGAGAGGGAGCCUGAGAAACGGCUACCACAUCUAAGGAAGGCAGCAGGCGCGUAAAUUACCCAAUCCUGACUCAGGGAGGUAGUGACAAGAAAUAACGGACCGAGGCUUUUGCUUCGGGAUUGCAAUGAGUAGAAUUUAAACCCCUUUACGAGGAUCAAUUGGAGGGCAAGUCUGGUGCCAGCAGCCGCGGUAAUUCCAGCUCCAAUAGCGUAUAUUAAAGUUGUUGCAGUUAAAAAGCUCGUAGUUGGAUUUCUGGGAGGGCGCCAAUGUCCGCUCGUUCGCGUGUGCAGCGGCGCCCUUCCAUCCUUCUGUUAACGUUUCUUGGUAUUCAGUUACUGGUUUCGGGCUCAGAUAUUUUACCUUGAGAAAAUUAGAGUGUUCCAGGCAGGCUUGCGCCGGAAUACAUUAGCAUGGAAUAAUAGAAUAGGACUUUAGUCUCCCUUUGUUGGUUUGAGGGACUGAAGUAAUGAUUAAUAGGGAUAGUUGGGGGCAUUAGUAUUUAAUUGUCAGA
RNAcentral lists this ribosomal RNA (891 nucleotides) under uncultured ciliate. RNAcentral describes it as "SSU rRNA". It matches the Rfam family "Eukaryotic small subunit ribosomal RNA", at positions 1 to 909 of the family's 1831-position model. Lineage: Eukaryota; Ciliophora. The record is from RNAcentral.